GAUGAACGCUGGCGGCGUGCCUAAUACAUGCAAGUCGAGCGAACGGACGAGAAGCUUGCUUCUCUGAUGUUAGCGGCGGACGGGUGAGUAACACGUGGAUAACCUACCUAUAAGACUGGGAUAACUUCGGGAAACCGGAGCUAAUACCGGAUAAUAUUUUGAACCGCAUGGUUCAAAAGUGAAAGACGGUCUUGCUGUCACUUAUAGAUGGAUCCGCGCUGCAUUAGCUAGUUGGUAAGGUAACGGCUUACCAAGGCAACGAUGCAUAGCCGACCUGAGAGGGUGAUCGGCCACACUGGAACUGGGACACGGUCCAGACUCCUACGGGAGGCAACAGUAGGGAAUCUUCCGCAAUGGGCGAAAGCCUGACGGAGCAACGCCGCGUGAGUGAUGAAGGUCUUCGGAUCGUAAAACUCUGUUAUUAGGGAAGAACAUAUGUGUAAGUAACUGUGCACAUCUUGACGGUACCUAAUCAGAAAGCCACGGCUAACUACGUG
Molecule: ribosomal RNA, 497 nt
Filed under: uncultured bacterium
Lineage: Bacteria
Description: partial 16S ribosomal RNA
Rfam family: Bacterial small subunit ribosomal RNA
Source: RNAcentral